RNAcentral lists this ribosomal RNA (422 nucleotides) under uncultured bacterium. Its description in RNAcentral is "bacterial SSU rRNA". It matches the Rfam family "Bacterial small subunit ribosomal RNA", at positions 355 to 775 of the family's 1533-position model. The record is from RNAcentral.
UAGGGAAUAUUGGACAAUGGGUGCAAGCCUGAUCCAGCCAUGCCGCGUGCAGGAAGAAGGCCUUAUGGGUUGUAAACUGCUUUUGCCAGGGGAUAAAAUACGGAUGCGUCCGGAAUUGAAGGUACCUGGUGAAUAAGCCACGGCUAACUACGUGCCAGCAGCCGCGGUAAUACGUAGGUGGCAAGCGUUGUCCGGAUUUAUUGGGUUUAAAGGGUGCGUAGGCGGUUCCUUAAGUCAGUGGUGAAAUACUUCAGCUCAACUGGAGAGGUGCCAUUGAUACUGGGGAACUUGAGUACUGAUGAGGUAGGCGGAAUGGACGGUGUAGCGGUGAAAUGCUUAGAUAUCGUCCAGAACACCGAUAGCGAAGGCAGCUUACUAAAGAGUAACUGACGCUGAGGCACGAAAGUGUGGGGAUCAAACAG